GAGGGGGGCUGUCUAGGAGUGGAGUGGGCAUAGGCCAACUUCAAGGGUCCUGAGAGUAACAAUGACUCAGGAGGGACCUGUAAAAAAGCAUCUCGUCCUGGGGCCCAGGCAGUGACUUUGUGUACCUUGCAGCUUCAGGAGUCAGGGAGUGUGGCUAAUCCCUGCAGGCACUGGCAGGAGCCAGGAAGACUGUUCCCACCCAGUGAGAAGGAGGUGAGUGAGUCACUGAGGUUGAUGACCAACUCCCUUCUGGGGAGCCCUACAGCCUGAUGCAGGGAGCAGGAGUGAGCUGUCUUGCUGGAGCAUUCAGGUCUCAGAAGACUCCUGUUGGAAAAUUUAGUCCUGGGAACUUUCAUCUACAACCUCCUUGGAGAUUGUGGUGAGAAAAAUGCAAUACAUAGUUCAUCUCUGGGCAGCUGCCUUUGAUGAGUGAUUCCAUGCCAGAGAAGGACAGGGAGGACAAUAUGUGGACAUAAAAGGACUCAGCAAGGAGACACUGGAGGGGAGUCCUGAUGAGGAAGACGGAACCACGGACAUCUUCUUGUCACCUUUCUCCAUGGGAUCUGAGCUUGGAGUAUGACUGAGCCUUUGGUGAAACCCUGAGCCACAGCACAUGUUCAGGCAUCUCUGGGGUGCCCUAGGAUCUUGCCCCCAUCCUAUGACCACUCCUAGUUUGGGGUCUAAGCAGUGUCAUGAAGAGGAAGCAAAGAUAGCAAGCACAACAUGGACCCACUGGCGAUAUCUAACUUGGAGAAUGUGCAAGUCCCUUAAAUAGAAUGGCAUAUUUGCAUAUAAGGUUGCACAAGCCCUGCUUUCAUAUACACUGACUCCAUUCUGGAGAAAGGAAAUGGAAGGAAAGAAGAGUUAAAAAUGGAACCUGUAUUCCCUAAACCCUGAGUCAUUCAAAAGAGACCAUGUACAGUGGAACAGAUGGUAGAUGAACUUGUAAGUUGGCAAGUUUUGAGUUUGGUUUCUCUUCAACUCUC
RNAcentral lists this long non-coding RNA (986 nucleotides) under Heterocephalus glaber (naked mole-rat). RNAcentral describes it as "lncRNA (ENSHGLG00100027547.2)". The record is from RNAcentral. Lineage: Eukaryota; Metazoa; Chordata; Mammalia; Rodentia; Bathyergidae.